GACGAACGCGGCGGCGUGCCUAAUACAUGCAAGUUGAGCGCUGAAGGUUGGUACUUGUACCAACUGGAUGAGCAGCGAACGGGUGAGUAACGCGUGGGGAAUCUGCCUUUGAGCGGGGGACAACAUUUGGAAACGAAUGCUAAUACCGCAUAAAAACUUUAAACACAAGUUUUAAGUUGAAAGAUGCAAUUGCAUCACUCAAAGAUGAUCCCGCGUUGUAUUAGCUAGUUGGUGAGGUAAAGGCUCACCAAGGCGAUGAUACAUAGCCGACCUGAGAGGGUGAUCGGCCACAUUGGGAGUGAGACACGGCCCAAACUCCUACGGGAGGCAGCAGUAGGGAAUCUUCGGCAAUGGACGAAAGUCUGACCGAGCAACGCCGCGUGAGUGAAGAAGGUUUUUCGGGAUUCGUAAAAACUUCUGCUGGUAGAGAAAGAAACC
This 438-nucleotide ribosomal RNA is filed under the name Lactococcus lactis. RNAcentral's name for it is "bacterial SSU rRNA". It matches the Rfam family "Bacterial small subunit ribosomal RNA", at positions 28 to 455 of the family's 1533-position model. The record is from RNAcentral. Lineage: Bacteria; Bacillati; Bacillota; Bacilli; Lactobacillales; Streptococcaceae.